Molecule: long non-coding RNA, 639 nt
Filed under: Zea mays
Lineage: Eukaryota; Viridiplantae; Streptophyta; Magnoliopsida; Poales; Poaceae
Description: drought responsive lncRNA
Source: RNAcentral
ACCGGUCUUGCUCAGAAUCUCAUUCAGAUUGGAUGCAAAGAGGCACCAUUUUAAGAGCCACCUUACUCAAACGUCGUCCUUGUAGAUGUCAUCAUAGCAAAUAAGGAAACAGGGAAAGAAUGAAACUCCAUCACAGCAUUUUCGAUCAAACAUCAGGCGGAGAGGAUAAAGCACUAGGAUCAUACUUGCUCAGACAUUUGUCUCAGAUCAGUUAUAAUCAUGCGCGAAUAGUUGCCUCGCCCAGAUACGGUCCUUUGUAAGUCAUCACAUCGAUUUCCAGCGCAAAAACAAACCACACAGUAAAUCUACACCUGACUACCUCCUAAAAUCAAGGCUUGCAGUGCAGUACAACCACUACUCCAUACCCGAAACCAAUUCAUAAGCGAAUGCACCUAACGUGGCCACACAAUGGACAAUGGCGGCAAUGAUCCAAAGAGAAUACGUCAUCUACCGACAAGGAUACAGACACAGGGCCAUAAAACAGGAAUGAGCAGAGACGGAGGACGCAUAAAAUUUGAGGUAUGGCAGAUUUCAAGGAGAUGCUGCAGAAGAAACAAAGCGGUUGUCUCAACCGGCAGCAGUAUUCUGAACCAUUAGCAUUAGGAACACUUUACGCAUGUUCGGAACUUCUGAUGAACA